This 1355-nucleotide long non-coding RNA is filed under the name Triticum aestivum (bread wheat). Its description in RNAcentral is "long non-coding RNA (TAES_LNC016084)". The record is from RNAcentral. Lineage: Eukaryota; Viridiplantae; Streptophyta; Magnoliopsida; Poales; Poaceae.
GGUCUCGUUGAGUGAAACAAAUCUCAAGGACAUUUCUACAUAGCACUGAAUCUUGAUAGAUACAGACAUGCACAGCAACAAACUUUAAUUUGGUUCUUGUCUUCCUCUUGCCAUCCUGCUGAUCAACUACCUUUUGGUUCUUCCAUGCUCUGUCAAUGUAUAAGAUAAUAAUUUCAGUACAGGCAUAUCUAGCAGAAUAAAUGGUUCGAGUUUCAAUCUAGAUUUGCAAACAGGGAAGGGGGAACGAGGCGGGGGCGACCACCGCACCCGGCACCAUUGGCGGCAAGGCUCCCAGGGGAAAGUGGUGCGGGUGCGUCGUGCUGUCAGGUGGUGGCGAGAAUGGCAUGACCAGCGGCUGGAUUUUGGGUGCGUUGGAGGAGAUAAGGAGUGAAACAGGGAAGCGGGGAAGGAGACGCCUGUUGCAUUAAGAUUCGGACGGACAAUUGGCGAGUGCUGGAGUGGGUCUCACGAUCGGGUCCGUACGACUCAGUCGUAUAGGAUUUUUUUCCACAUGGGACUGCUAUGGACAAUGAUGGAACAUUUAUGGUGACACAGUUUUCAGAAAUCUUUUUCAUUGUCAUAGUGGAUCUUAGGGAAAAUGGACUUUCAAUCAACUUCAUAGUGGAUCUUAGGGAAAAAAUUCCUAUGCCACUAAUUAAAAAUCCUAUUAUACAACACCGACAAGUGCGACCAUAUUUUCAGCAAAACAAUAUUACUAAUUCUUUUGGUUGCAAUGAAGCACCAACCUGGCUCGAGUACAUUUGAACAAUAACAUUGUCGGCUAUUUACAUACCUAUAAAAUUACAUACUCGUAUAUCAAGCUUUCAAAGUAUAAGUAUUUUUCAGGUCUGGACAGAUUCAAGCGACUGAAAGAAUAUUAUCCUUUUUAGUUAAAAUUAAAUAGCUUAAUCUUCUAUCUGAUUUACAUGGGCCUUAGGGUAUAGAACAGACUUACAGUUGGAUAGUAAUUCGUGAAAACAGAGUAACCAGUGAAAAUCAAAUCCAUUACUGCAUCAAGGUACUUUUUCACAUGAUCAUGCCAUAAAGGCAUUCCAGAUUUGCAGAAGAAAGGUAGGAAACUCCUACAAAGCAGCAAACAAAACACCCAGAUCCAGAGCAGCUGGGAACGAAUAAAUUCAGAAAUAGAUAAUUAGUAAACAUUGAGAUUGCACGUGUUCUAUUGCUACCUGCCUUCUCUUGUUAAGUAACUCAUUCAAAGACAGAUAGUAGCUCACUGAUUAGUAGGUGGUGGUGUUCUAGAUGCUCGUCCCUUCUCACCUUGGGCUCUCUGAAUAAGUGAUUAUGUAUUACCAAAUCCAGUGAUGCCUAGCUCCAUGAAGAUCAUACCUGUACCA